CGCUUUGCAUUCGGCGGGAGCCCGCCCUAUAUUGCAAGUGCCGGGAGCGAAAGCCUCCGGCUAUGGCGAUAAAUGGUCACCGCAAUAAACCUUUCGGACCCGGGGGCGGUACCCGGCGCCUCCACCGGAACCCGUUUUCCGAGCUCGCGCCCGGGCGGGCUGCGGCGGGGGCGAAACAGGAUCGACGAGGGCGUAAAGGGUGCGCUUUUGCCCGGCAUGAUACCGCCGUUAUCGGGUCAAACCUAUAGUUGCGAAUGACAACUAUGCUCCGGUGGCCGUCGCUGCGUAAGCGGUGAAGGUACUGGGAACAAGCCCCGGGGGGUAGCACUCUCGGGCGGGGUCUGGAGGCGCCCGGCAACAGAAGCCUCCACU
RNAcentral lists this transfer-messenger RNA (372 nucleotides) under Hyphomicrobiales bacterium. It matches the Rfam family "Alphaproteobacteria transfer-messenger RNA". From Rfam's summary of the family: Bacterial tmRNA, also known as 10Sa RNA or SsrA, is named for its dual tRNA and mRNA-like properties. Its role is to liberate the mRNA from a stalled ribosome. The record is from RNAcentral. Lineage: Bacteria; Pseudomonadati; Pseudomonadota; Alphaproteobacteria; Hyphomicrobiales.